GACAAUGGAAGGCCAGGUGCAGAGGUUAGUACUUUCUCUCUCUCUGUUUCUCUGCCCUGUUAUUUUGAUUGAUGCUGACUUAAUUUACUUGAGCCACUGUACCUAUCAUAGUGCUUGACAUGCAAGAUGCUGCUUUGAAUUGCCUACUGAGGUUAAGUUGCUCAAUACAGCAUGAUUUAGAGUAAUUGCUUGAACUCAAAGUAUGUUAAUACCAAGAAAAUUUUCUCCUUCCAGGGUACUUUUGUACUAUUUUCUUCUCUUGAUGUAUCCCUGUGUAGUAUCCUUUCUCCUUGCAAUAGAGAAAAAUAUAAAAAGAAAAAAGGUCAUCUCUUAUUUUGGCUUUUUUUAAAAUAAGAAAAUAAAUUUUAUUGAAGAAAAAAAAAGGAAAAAUUAGACAUGGAGAGUAAAUAAUCUUCCUAAAUCAUCUAAGAAACAACAGGGACAAAAGGAGACUUAAAAGAAGUAAAGCCUACAAUGUUGUCGAAUAAUAUGGAAGGAUAAUCCUCCAAAAGCCCAAGAACCCUCUUUCCUACAACAAAAGUCAUGAAAACAAUCUUACCCCACAAGAUAUUGAGAGGCAACUUAUAAAAAAUGUGGGCUUUCCUUUCCAUCCAAAUGCUAUGAAUGAAUGCAACAGAGGUAUAACUCCAAAGAAUUUUAGCUUUUUUCUGGCCACCAUUUUAAGCUGAAAAACAUCUCUAGAGAAUAAGGACAUGCCAUUCUCCUAAAAAAUACCAAAAAGACAGUUAUUAUUAUCGAAUCCACUUCACAACAUAAAAAGAAAUGAAAAGUAAACAAAUUGUGUGUUGUCUUAGCCUUAAAAAUUUUAUUAUCUGAAGGGAAUGAGUGAUAAUGAGGGGGGCAAAUAUAUAGGAACAAGACUUGGGUGGAAAAAACUUGAGGAUUCUAAAGACCUAUUUUUCUUAGGCAACAACUGAACGGCGCUCAACUAAAGAAGCACCAAAGAUAAUUCUGUCACCUUACUAUCAUUAAGGUUGUCAAUUCCAAAGAAGUGAAAGUUCUGGGAUGAUGUGUAAAUUAACAAGGAAAGAAUCAUGGAAAUUGUGAAACAGCUAAACAGGAGCAUUAUACAAAUAGGAAAAGAUGAAAGAACCAUCCCAAAUAUCUGCUUAGAAGCAAAUAAAUGUACGUUACCAAAUUUAUAUUCAAGAAUGAGAAAGGAAGAAAAGUAUACCUGAGAUAUCAAUUUCCAUGCAUUCUAGGAGGAGCAUUAAUUCCCCUUUUUGCAUCCCAUAUUCUGAUAUAAUUCAUAUAUACCCUUAAUAAACUUGUAGAAGAAAAUUCAUCUCUGAUGGGAACAGUCAGUUAUAACUAAAUCCCUACAGGGACAGUAUUUUUAGGCACUUAACUUCUAAGACCUAAUGCCCCCAUGUGACUAACUGAAAUCUGUCAUCUUCUCAAUUUCAUCUACCGCUUUUACUGGGGUCUUAAACAAGGACAAAUAGUAUGGGAGAAUGCUGGAUAAACAAGCUUAAAUCAGAGUGAUAUAUCCCCCUAAAGAGCUAAAGGCUCCCGUCUAAGUAUCUAACCUUUUUGAUUGGUGGAGCUACUAGAUCUCAGAUAAAAAAAGUUUUGACUGCAGUUACCACUUAAAAGAACAUCAAAUUAGGUCGGUGACCACUCCAACCUUGUACAAUCUACUGAUAAAGCCAAUCUUGGAAGCU
Molecule: unclassified non-coding RNA, 1685 nt
Filed under: Hevea brasiliensis (rubber tree)
Lineage: Eukaryota; Viridiplantae; Streptophyta; Magnoliopsida; Malpighiales; Euphorbiaceae
Source: RNAcentral